UACAGAGGUCCCGAGCGUUGUUCGGAUUCACUGGGCGUAAAGGGUGCGUAGGUGGUGGGAUAAGUCGGAUGUGAAAUCUCGGAGCUCAACUCCGAAACUGCAUUCGAUACUGCCGUGCUUGAGGACUGGAGAGGAGACUGGAAUUUACGGUGUAGCGGUGAAAUGCGUAGAUAUCGUAAGGAAGACCAGUGGCGAAGGCGGGUCUCUGGACAGUUCCUGACGCUGAGGCACGAAGGUCAGGGGAGCAAACGGG
Molecule: ribosomal RNA, 253 nt
Filed under: uncultured bacterium
Lineage: Bacteria
Description: partial 16S ribosomal RNA
Rfam family: Bacterial small subunit ribosomal RNA
Source: RNAcentral